GGUAGCGAAAUUCCUUGUCGGGUAAGUUCCGACCUGCACGAAUGGCGUAACGAUGGCCACACUGUCUCCACCCGAGACUCAGUGAAAUUGAAAUCGCUGUGAAGAUGCAGUGUACCCGCGGCGGGACGAAAAGACCCCGUGCACCUUAACUAUAAUUUUAUAUUGAAAGGGGUAAUUUAGUAUGAAGAAUAAUUAGGAGUUUAUGAUCUAUGUAUUUUUUUAUACAUUAGGGAGACGUUUGUGCUAUACUAGUUAUUAAAUUAGUAUCUUUUCUAAUUUUUAAGAAAAAAGUGUAUGAUUGGUAGUUUAGCUGGGGCGGCUUCCUCCAAAAGAGUAACGGAGGAGUACAAAGACAAUUUCAAUUUAAUGUCAAUUAAAUUUGUGAGCGUAAUGGUAUAAAAUUGUUUAACUGUAAGAUUUUACAAAUCAAAACAGAGAUAAUAGCUCGGUCAUAGUGAUCCAGUAACACAGAAUGGAAUGGUUAUUGCUUAACGGAUAAAAGGUACGCCGGGGAUAACAGGCUAAUUGUCCUUGAGAGGCCAUAUCGACGGGAUAGUUUGGC
This 562-nucleotide ribosomal RNA is filed under the name uncultured bacterium. RNAcentral's name for it is "bacterial LSU rRNA". It matches the Rfam family "Bacterial large subunit ribosomal RNA", at positions 1955 to 2522 of the family's 2925-position model. The record is from RNAcentral.